RNAcentral lists this ribosomal RNA (896 nucleotides) under Clonostachys candelabrum. Its description in RNAcentral is "LSU rRNA". It matches the Rfam family "Eukaryotic large subunit ribosomal RNA", at positions 38 to 966 of the family's 3401-position model. Lineage: Eukaryota; Fungi; Ascomycota; Sordariomycetes; Hypocreales; Bionectriaceae. The record is from RNAcentral.
GCAUAUCAAUAAGCGGAGGAAAAGAAACCAACAGGGAUUGCCCUAGUAACGGCGAGUGAAGCGGCAACAGCUCAAAUUUGAAAUCUGGCGCAAGCCCGAGUUGUAAUUUGUAGAGGAUGUUUCUGGCGACGUACCUUUCCGAGUUCCCUGGAACGGGACGCCAUAGAGGGUGAGAGCCCCCGUACGGUUGGUUGCCUAGCCUUUGUGAAACUCCUUCGACGAGUCGAGUAGUUUGGGAAUGCUGCUCUAAAUGGGAGGUAUACGUCUUCUAAAGCUAAAUACCGGCCAGAGACCGAUAGCGCACAAGUAGAGUGAUCGAAAGAUGAAAAGCACUUUGAAAAGAGGGUUAAAUAGUACGUGAAAUUGUUGAAAGGGAAGCGUUUAUGACCAGACUUGGGUAGGUUGAUCAUCCGUGGUUCUCCGCGGUGCACUCUGCCUGCCUAGGCCAGCAUCAGUUCAGUUCGGGGGAUAAAGGCUUCGGGAAUGUAGCUCCCUCGGGAGUGUUAUAGACCGUUGCGUAAUACCCUGAUCUGGACUGAGGUUCGCGCACUGCAAGGAUGCUGGCGUAAUGGUCAUCAGCGACCCGUCUUGAAACACGGACCAAGGAGUCGUCUUCGUAUGCGAGUGUUCGGGUGUCAAACCCCUACGCGUAAUGAAAGUGAACGUAGGAGAGAGCUUCGGCGCAUCUCCGACCGAUCCUGAUGUUCUCGGAUGGAUUUGAGUAAGAGCAUACGGGGCCGGACCCGAAAGAAGGUGAACUAUGCCUGUAUAGGGUGAAGCCAGAGGAAACUCUGGUGGAGGCUCGCAGCGGUUCUGACGUGCAAAUCGAUCGUCAAAUAUGGGCAUGGGGGCGAAAGACUAAUCGAACCUUCUAGUAGCUGGAUAUACAGCCGAAG